RNAcentral lists this ribosomal RNA (497 nucleotides) under uncultured bacterium. RNAcentral describes it as "partial 16S ribosomal RNA". It matches the Rfam family "Bacterial small subunit ribosomal RNA", at positions 28 to 507 of the family's 1533-position model. The record is from RNAcentral.
GAUGAACGCUGGCGGCGUGCCUAAUACAUGCAAGUCGAGCGAACGGACGAGAAGCUUGCUUCUCUGAUGUUAGCGGCGGACGGGUGAGUAACACGUGGAUAACCUACCUAUAAGACUGGGAUAACUUCGGGAAACCGGAGCUAAUACCGGAUAAUAUUUUGAACCGCAUGGUUCAAAAGUGAAAGACGGUCUUGCUGUCACUUAUAGAUGGAUCCGCGCUGCAUUAGCUAGUUGGUAAGGUAACGGCUUACCAAGGCAACGAUGCAUAGCCGACCUGAGAGGAUGAUCGGCCACACUGGAACUGAGACACGGUCCAGACUCCUACGGGAGGCAGCAGUAGGGAAUCUUCCGCAAUGGGCGAAAGCCUGACGGAGCAACGCCGCGUGAGUGAUGAAGGUCUUCGGAUCGUAAAACUCUGUUAUUAGGGAAGAACAUAUGUGUAAGUAACUGUGCACAUCUUGACGUUACCUAAUCAGAAAGCCACGGCUAACUACGUG